GAAGAAGAACGUAGCGAAAUGCGAUAAGUAGUGUGAAUUGCAGAAUUCAGUGAAUCAUCGAAUCUUUGAACGCACAUUGCGCCCCUCGGUAUUCCGUGGGGCAUGCCUGUUCGAGCGUCAUUUAACCCCUCAAGCCUAGCUUGGUAUUGGGUGCUUGUCCCGCCUCUCGCGCGGCGACUCACCUCAAAGUCAUUGGCAGCCCGCAUCUCGCCGGCCGUGAGCGCAGCACAGACGCGCUCUUGGCAACGACGGAUCGGCUCUCCAAAAGCUUAUUUCAACCACUGACCUCGGAUCAGGUAGGGAUACCCGCUGAACUUAAGCAUAUCAAUAAGCGGAGGA
RNAcentral lists this unclassified non-coding RNA (339 nucleotides) under soil metagenome. Its description in RNAcentral is "partial contains 5.8S ribosomal RNA, internal transcribed spacer 2, and large subunit ribosomal RNA". The stretch from base 1 to 120 matches the Rfam family "5.8S ribosomal RNA", at positions 35 to 154 of the family's 154-position model. The record is from RNAcentral.